ACCUGGCUGGCUCAGUCAGUAGAGCAUGUGACUCUUGGUCUUGGGGUUUUGAGUUCAAGCCCCAAGCUAGGUA
Molecule: transfer RNA, 73 nt
Filed under: Canis lupus familiaris (dog)
Lineage: Eukaryota; Metazoa; Chordata; Mammalia; Carnivora; Canidae
Also listed under: 1 other name
Rfam family: tRNA
About the family: Transfer RNA (tRNA) molecules are approximately 80 nucleotides in length. Their secondary structure includes four short double-helical elements and three loops (D, anti-codon, and T loops).
Source: Rfam by way of RNAcentral